This is a long non-coding RNA of Hydra vulgaris (swiftwater hydra), 488 nucleotides long. RefSeq lists it as uncharacterized. Lineage: Eukaryota; Metazoa; Cnidaria; Hydrozoa; Anthoathecata; Hydridae. The record is from RefSeq and is a predicted model, not a curated record.
UCGCCCAAAAAAUUUGUAUAUAACUUUUACAUGUGAACAAAUAUAAUUUGAGAAUUGCGUUUUCAAAAUUUAGGGAUAAAAAGACGUUGAAAUUCGCUUAGAGCAUGAUGAUUGGCAAACUUUCACUUGUAAUUUUAUUGUUAUUUCUUUUGGAUAUAAGUGAUUCUAAACCACAAGGGUGCAUAUCUAUUCGAUAUCGAAGGGCGUGCACAAACAAUAUUAUCCAAAGAUCAGAUGCGAUGAAAAGACAACGCGAUGAGUAUGAUAGAAGUACGAAUAAAGUUAAGGACGAUAUAUUGCUUGAUUUAUAUAACGUUUUCAACGAACCAAGCUGAUUAUCGUUUUCAAUGAUUAAAAAAAAGAUAAAAAAUUUUAAUAGUUUUAUAUGCAGCAAACAGUGAAAUAAAGUUUGCUAAUAAAUGCGAGAAAACAAGUUGAGUGGGUAUUGUGCAGAUAACAAAAAAAAUUAUUAUUAAUUUGAGAAAUAA